This 5212-nucleotide long non-coding RNA is filed under the name Sus scrofa (pig). Its description in RNAcentral is "lncRNA (ENSSSCG00050028359.1)". Lineage: Eukaryota; Metazoa; Chordata; Mammalia; Artiodactyla; Suidae. The record is from RNAcentral.
CAGUAAAGAUCUUGAUCUGGUGGUCUGAGCUGUGUCACCUUUUUUUAAGAGAGUUUAAAAGUCAUUUGCUUUGCUAUGAAAGUGAAUUAUGUGGUAUUAAGUACUGCAGUAGCACCAUUAAACAUUAUAUCAUCAAUCUUUUUAAGAUGUGGAAAGGUCAGUGUCCCAAAGGCCAUUUUUUAAUUCCCUUUUUAACUCCAAGCUGAAAGCAGUUUUCAUUGUUUCUUUUUUCCUACAACUGAUAUAAUCCUCCAAAAAAUAAAAGCCUCCCAGUACCUCCUAGGCAUAUUCAGCCCAAAUCCAAACAUUAUGGAGAUUGUCUUUAGAAUAUAGACAGAGAUUGUCUUUAAAACACAAACAAAUGAAUGGGACUGUCUGCAAAACUGAAUAGUAAUGUUAGUUAUCAUCAGGUAGCUAAGAUGUACCCACAAUAUUAAAAAUUCCUAGAAGUCCUUGGAUUUAUAACUAGUAGAAAUAUAUUGUGUAGUUGCUUAUUCAGUAUAAUUAAACUCUCUAACAUGUAAUUUUAGGAAUAAACACAAUAUCGAAUUUUUUAUUCUUUUAUAGAAAUUAUUAUUUGUGUUUGUCAAGAUACUUUUGGGGAAAAAUGAAGAAGAGAAAAAUAGAAAAAAGACUUUCUUUUAGUUCUACGUCAGUCAGUAUUCCAACCGAAAAAUAAACUUUUCUGCUUUGAGUACUACAUUUAAAAUAACUUAUAUUUAAAGGCGUCCUGGUAGAAAUGAUCCUUAUUCUUCCUGUAUUGCUUUGAUCAGUUAAAGAAACCAUAUCACAAGAGAUAUUCCUAGUGUUUUGUUAUCUUCAGGAUUUUUGAAUACCUUUUGUGUAUUUCUGUAUUUCAGAAAGCCUGUUUCUAAAAAUUCUAAAUGGUAAAUUCACAUUUCAAUACCUGAUCAUAGAAGCAUUUCUUGUUUUGAAAAUGACAGGGUUGGCACAGAUGAUUUAAAUAUAACAUUAAGAAUGUCAGAACUGGCAAUGCCUUACUAAAAAUUCCAAGAUAUUUAACUAACAAAUGCAAAAGUGUUUAAAGAAACGUGGUAUGUGAUAGUAAAAUCUAAGAAGUGAAAAAGAGAAUAACUUUAUACAAGCCAGAUUAAUCUAUUCACUGUCCUGAAGCUUAUUCCAUUCUCCUAAAUUCAAUGCGUUAUCCCUGAUUAAAUUUACUCAUCCUGAUUUUUUUUUUUUUUUUUUUUUUUGGCCUUUUUGCCAUUUCUUUGGGCCUCUCCCGCGGCAUAUGGAGGUUCCCAGGCUAGGGGUCUAAUCGGAGCUGUAGCCCCUGGCCUACACCAGAGCCACAGCAACGCGGGAUCCGAGCCGCGUCUGCAACCCACACCACAGCUCACGGCAACGCCGGAUCGUUAACCCACUGAGCAAGGGCAGGGACCGAACCUGCAACCUCAUGGUUCCUAGUCGGAUUUGUUAACCACUGCGCCACAACGGAAACUCCUCAUCCUGAUUCUUUUAUGUAGUCUGUUGAUAUCAGUGUUUUUAGGUCUUUUUGUUGUGGAAAUUCUAAUUGUCAUCUGUUCAAAUACAGGUUGUUCUUUAUUCAGUCCCUUUGGGAUUUCAGUUGGACAUGUGCUACUUAUUUCUCCUUUCCCUAUAUUUAUUUCUCUUUCAUAUGUUAGCAUUGACUUGUCUCUCUGUUCUGCUUUUGCCUAAUCUUCCAGUUCACUAUUUCUCUCUUCCCUUAGAUCUACUCUACCUUCUGCCAAUCUAUUUUAGUUUUUACGUUAUUUUUCAUUUCUAAAAGUUCUAUUUGAUUCUUUUAACGUGUAGUCAUUUUAAAAAUAAUAUCUAGUUCUUAUGUAAUUUUCUGUACUUUGUUAAAUAAGUGUUAAAUUUUAGUCUAUUUUCUGCAAUUGGUAGUUCAUUUAAAGUCCUUAGGACUUUAAAUAUUUUCUGUGGGUAUUUUUCUGUUGGUUAUCACACCUGCACACUUAAGUUCUCAUAUAUUUGCAGAUUUUGACUGUGAACUCAUGUAUGUUCACAGUCUGUGACCGUGAACUUAAUAUGAAGGAAUACCAACAAUCUAAGUAGGGAUCAUUUUAUUCAGAGAAGAACUGUGUUUUCUGCUAGAAGCUAGGGCAUAUCACCAGUCUGAAAUGAUCAUGGAGUUCUUGCUAAAUGCACAUGACCCAAAUGGCAAUCACCAAUUUCUGGUGGGACCCAGGCUUAAUCUCUACAUUUCCUUGUGAUUAUGAGCAUUUUUCCCCAAAGCAGCCUAGCUUUAGUAUUUUCCAAGUGCUGUUGGGUUUAUCUACUUUGUUUUCAAAAAUUCUCUUUCAAAAAGAACAUUCUGUGGAAAAACUGAAUAAUCUGUUUCAGAAAGACUUGAUAGUAAUAUGUACAAAAUACAAGGGGAAAAAAUUUUAUUAAACUGGUAUGUCAUGUCUGUUUCUUCAUGCCCAUAAUGAAAGUGCUAGACUAUCAUUGAAGUGAUAAAAUUGCAUAAGGAGUAUUUAGAUGUAACAUAGAGUGUGUUGAGACAGAAAUAAUUAUUUGAUUAAGAAGAAUUCUCUAAGCACUGUUAGCUCCAUAGUUUUACCCACAUUAGACACCACAAUGCCGACUCAAAUAGGUAGAACUCCCAUGGGCCAUUUAUCUAAAUUUAUUUGUAACUAAAGAGAUUCUUUAGCGUGGAGACUUAUACAGCAUUUGUUGAGAUUAUCACUGUAAUGAGAAAAACACAUCUCUAUGGAUAUGGUUAAAUAAACUCUAGACUGCCUUCUUUCCAUAACAUCAGUAUUUUGUGCUGGCAGUUAGCUCUGGCCUUGAGAUGGAGGCUGUCCAGAACACCUGGUGACCAAGAGCCUCUUUCUCCUUGCGAUCAGAGCUGAAAAUAGGUUCCUGCAUUUUCUCAGCAUCAUGCAUUUACUGUGUAACAUUAAGCUCUUCCCUGAACACAUUAUAGCUUAAUUACUUGCUGAACAAUAUCACAACAUACCAGUUAUAUAAGAACUCGGGGGGGAUCUCAAGUGGAGUUCACACCUCAUAGGAAAGGAAGCUGUGGUCGGCCCUUGCUUCUUCCCAUUGCUAUUACUCUGACAUCUUGUGUUAAGUGCUGUUGUCCUUGCACAGUUUAAAGUGCAACUUCCACUUCGUGGUUUCUGGGAACUAAGAAAGAUUUUCAUUAUGGAGAAGGAGAGAGAAAAAGUGCUUACCUUCCCCUCUCACCUCCAAAAUUGAAUAACAUAUAUUUUGAGGGGAGAUAAAGAAGUUCUAUGCCCUGAAUUAAUUGUAGACCCAUAUAGCUCUUAGAAAUAUGGUCUACAAACAACUGAAAACAUGAGUGCAGAUUAGUGUUACUAUAGAAUUAUAAGAAUGGGGAAAUAUAAUCUGUCCACAUGUUUACUAUUUCUUAGGUAUUUCAGUAUCAUACAAUUUGGUAUAGUUAGAGUAACCAAGCUUUUUUAUUUUGUAGAGGAAAAAAUUGUUUCUAUGUUUAUUAAUGCAGCCAUUUCUUAUGCUUGGUCAGUAGCAGAGAUGAGCCAGAGUCAGUUUUCUUGUUUUCGUCUUGAAUGUUUUCCAGUUUUUUACCCUAUGCGACAUUGUCUGUCACUUUCACAUUCUACAGUUACAUCUUGUUUGAUUUUUCACCUAAAACAUUGAGUUUUAUGCCCCAUUUUUAAUUUCAAAUAAACCUUUCUUCCUUAAAUAUUCCAUAGGACCUGCUUUACUGAUUGAAAUAAUUUAGGGUUAAGUUAUGAGUGCUUUUGGCUAGUCAAGGACACUUAUCCAUAAUUUUUGAUACUAUUUAAUUGUUUUUAGAAUCAUCAAUGAAAAUGAAUCUCUACAGUGGAGUGUGUGUUAAUAUUGAUUGUGUGUUAUUUCUUUAUCACUCUGGGUAUUACUUUCUCACUUCCUCUACCCUUAGCUGCUUUUCUAUGGAGAAAGUCUUAGCCUGAAAAGUCAAAAAGUGAACAAAAGUCAUUAGCUCAGGUUUUGAUUAAUAUACUGCAAAGUGAGAACAACUUUAAAAUGAGUGUUUGGCAGAGAGCAAGGAAUUUAAAGAUUUUAUACAACUAAAUGGAACUGAUUAAUUGAAGUUCCAUUGGUUACUAUUCAAAUUCUCAGAAGUUAGAGGGCGCUUAUUUAUUUAUUUUUUUUAAACUACUUGGGUAGUAGUUUAAAGGGCUUAGCUUGGAAAUUGGAGUUUAGUAAAAAGGCUAAGGAGGAAAAAUUGUGGGCUGAGUUGUCUGACUCAGUGGGAAAAAUUUGUUCAGAUAUGAAACACAUGCAACCCAUUUUGGAACUACUCUCUUCCUCCUUGAAAUUUACAGACUACCACCCUUCAGUUUUAAGUUCACCAAAAGAAAGAUUGGGUUUGGAUAGGAAAACACCAAAGAAGAAUCUCUUUGUGAACAGCCUGAAGAUUUAAAUAGGUGGAGUGGUCUCUACUUAUAACCAUUUAAUAAAUUUGAUAAAUAAAAUUGAAGUAUUGAUCCUUAUUGAUACAUAGUGAGCCUAGUAGACUCCCCAAAUUGAUAUACAUUACCGAAGAAAAAGACUUUAGCCUCAAGGUGAAAUAAAUACUUAGAAGUAAUCUGAUAAGUAGGGGAAAGAAAGGAAGGGAAAAGAAAAAGAAGUAGAAAAGAGGAAGAAAUAGUCUUUUAUAUUCUAAUAUUCUGAUAUAUUCAAAUAUUAUCACCUACGUUUUAAGUUUUAAAGGACUUAAGGUGAAACUUUUGAAUCUUAUAUCGAAUCGUAGCAAUUUAGGUCAAGAGUGCAACACUUCUCCUGCCUUCUUUCUUAAAUAGUUAUUUUGAUGGAGAAGGUAGUUUGUGUCCUUGAAUUUAGUUUUAAAAUCCUGGAUCAAAGAAGAGAUAUUAUAAUCAGGAAAUUUUAAAAGUUUUUCUUUUACAAUGGUACUUCUGAUUAUUUACUUCAGAACUACUUAUCUGAGACAUCACUUCCUAUAUUUUAAGAAUUUCAACCUUGCCCAAGGAACUAUAUCUGAUCACUUGUGAGGAAACAUGGAGGAUAAUGUGAAAAAAAAAAUGUAUGGGGAGUUUCUGUCGUGGCUCACUGGAAACAAAUCUGAUUAACAUCCAUGAGAACGCAGGUUAAAUCCCUGGCCUUGCUCAGUGGGUUAAGAAUCUGGCAUUGCCAUGAGCUCUGGUAUAGGUCGCAGACACGGCUGGGAUCUGGUGUUGCUGUGGCUGUAGUGUAGACCCGCAGCUACAGCUCUGAU